This 468-nucleotide ribosomal RNA is filed under the name uncultured bacterium. RNAcentral's name for it is "partial 16S ribosomal RNA". It matches the Rfam family "Bacterial small subunit ribosomal RNA", at positions 28 to 507 of the family's 1533-position model. The record is from RNAcentral.
GACGAACGCUGGCGGCGUGCUUAACACAUGCAAGUCGAACGGAAAGGCCCUGCUUUUGUGGGGUGCUCGAGUGGCGAACGGGUGAGUAACACGUGAGUAACCUGCCCUUGACUUUGGGAUAACUUCAGGAAACUGGGGCUAAUACCGGAUAGGAGCUCCUGCUGCAUGGUGGGGGUUGGAAAGCUUCGGCGGUUGGGGAUGGACUCGCGGCUUAUCAGCUUGUUGGUGGGGUAGUGGCUUACCAAGGCUUUGACGGGUAGCCGGCCUGAGAGGGUGACCGGACACAUUGGGACUGAGAUACGGCCCAGACUCCUACGGGAGGCAGCAGUGGGGAAUAUUGCACAAUGGGCGGAAGCCUGAUGCAGCAACGCCGCGUGCGGGAUAACGGCCUUCGGGUUGUAAACCGCUUUCGCCUGUGACGAAGCGUGAGUGACGGUAAUGGGUAAAGAAGCACCGGCUAACUACGUG